RNAcentral lists this ribosomal RNA (461 nucleotides) under uncultured bacterium. RNAcentral's name for it is "partial 16S ribosomal RNA". It matches the Rfam family "Bacterial small subunit ribosomal RNA", at positions 28 to 506 of the family's 1533-position model. The record is from RNAcentral.
GAUGAACGCUGACAGAAUGCUUAACACAUGCAAGUCUUUGGCGAAGCUGUGCUUGCACAGCCUAGCCAAGGCGGACGGGUGAGUAACGCGUAAGGAACUUGCCCUGCAGUCAGGGAUAACAGACGGAAACGACUGAUAAGACCUGGUAAAGUCAGGCGGACUCAUGUCCAGCCUGAUGAAAAGUGAUGCUGCAGGAGAGCCUUGCGUCCUAUUAGCUUGUUGGUGGGGUAACGGCCCACCAAGGCGAUGAUAGGUAGCCGGCCUGAGAGGGUGGACGGCCACAAGGGGACUGAGAUACGGCACUUACUCCUACGGGAGGCAGCAGUGGGGAAUAUUGGACAAUGGGGGCAACCCUGAUCAGCAAUUCUGUGUGCACGAUGAAGGUUUUCGGAUUGUAAAGUGCUUUCAGCAGGGAAGAAAAAAAUGACGGUACCUGCAGAAGAAGCGACGGCAAAAUACGU